Molecule: ribosomal RNA, 467 nt
Filed under: Ceratopus sp. 4 LP-2019
Lineage: Eukaryota; Metazoa; Arthropoda; Insecta; Coleoptera; Curculionidae
Description: partial 28S ribosomal RNA
Rfam family: Eukaryotic large subunit ribosomal RNA
Source: RNAcentral
GAGACCGAUAGCGAACAAGUACCGUGAGGGAAAGUUGAAAAGCACUUUGAAGAGAGAGUUCAAGAGUACGUGAAACCGUUUAGGGGUAAACCUGAGAAACCCGAAAGGUCGAAGGGAGAAAUUCAUUCGCGUUUCGACGUAGGCGUCGGACGGCMGUGUGACGGAAAGCGUUCGCGUUUUCCGCGCCUUCUGUCCGUCGAACCGGCGACGAACGUGUGCACUUUUCUCCUGGUAGGACGUCGCGAUCCGUUGGGUGUCGGUCUACGGCUCGCGGUGGAGCCCGUUCGCCAUUACGUGCGAGCGGACCCGCGUGUCCCGGCUGACUCGCUCGACGGUAUACGAAAGGUUUGAGGCCGCUCUCGGAGCGUUCGACUCGUGGCAAGCGCGCCAGAUGUGUCGGCGAUCGGACCUAGUGCCGGUUCCGAUCUCUGGUGACUGUUGGCUGCGAAGUUCUCGAACAGACCUCU